RNAcentral lists this long non-coding RNA (220 nucleotides) under Lathyrus oleraceus (garden pea). Its description in RNAcentral is "Pisum sativum (pea) long non-coding RNA (PSAT_LNC027463)". Lineage: Eukaryota; Viridiplantae; Streptophyta; Magnoliopsida; Fabales; Fabaceae. The record is from RNAcentral.
UUCUCGGAACACACGAGGCUUGACCUUCUUGUUGAAUGCUUUUUCACUCUCUGCUGAUAUGACUGACCAUGACACAUGGCAGUUAGUCUCUUCUUUUCGAUUGGAUUCACUUGGUCGUAAUGACUCUGAAUCCAUUCAGCAUCAGUCAACUUGGGACUUUGAAGGGUGCUACUUCUCUUUUGUUUCUUUCUUUCUUUUUUCUUUUGAUUUGAUUUCUUUU